This 282-nucleotide ribosomal RNA is filed under the name uncultured prokaryote. RNAcentral's name for it is "partial 16S ribosomal RNA". It matches the Rfam family "Bacterial small subunit ribosomal RNA", at positions 524 to 803 of the family's 1533-position model. The record is from RNAcentral.
UACGUAUGGGGCGAGCGUUGUUCGGAAUUAUUGGGUGUAAAGGGCGUCUAGGCGGGAAAUUAAGUUAUAUGUGAAAGGCGUGGGCUCAACCCACGAAUUGCAUCUAAAACUGGUUUUCUUGAGUUCGGGAGAGGAGAGCGGAAUUCCUGGUGUAGCGGUGGAAUGCGCAGAGAUCAGGAGGAAUACCGAAGGCGAAGGCAGUCUUCCAAGCCGUUAUUGACGCUCAACUGCGAAGGUGUGGGUAUCAAACAGGAUUAGAUACCCCGGUAGUCCCUGAGCGGG